GAACUUAACUUUCGAUUGACUUGCUGA
RNAcentral lists this non-coding RNA (27 nucleotides) under Mus musculus (house mouse). The record is from RNAcentral. Lineage: Eukaryota; Metazoa; Chordata; Mammalia; Rodentia; Muridae.